GGAGAGGUGGCCGAGUGGCUGAAGGCGCUCGCCUGCUAAGCGAGUAAGGGCUAACCGCCCUUCGAGGGUUCGAAUCCCUUCCUCUCCGCCA
RNAcentral lists this transfer RNA (91 nucleotides) under Nitrospinota bacterium. RNAcentral's name for it is "tRNA-Ser". It matches the Rfam family "tRNA". From Rfam's summary of the family: Transfer RNA (tRNA) molecules are approximately 80 nucleotides in length. The record is from RNAcentral. Lineage: Bacteria; Pseudomonadati; Nitrospinota.